Long non-coding RNA from Nerophis lumbriciformis (worm pipefish), 575 nucleotides. RefSeq lists it as uncharacterized. The record is from RefSeq and is a predicted model, not a curated record. NCBI's taxonomy places the organism in Eukaryota, Metazoa, Chordata, Actinopteri, Syngnathiformes, Syngnathidae.
GCGUGCUUUACUAUGGCCCUUAAAUCUAUUAUAUGCUUAUUUUCUAGUGACAUAACAAACUGGGUUUUAUUUUAUUUCUUUAUUUCUCGAAACCAGCGCUCAUGUGUCGCCGGUGACGUCAUCAGCAUGACUUGGCUGCGUCGCUGGAAAAAAAACCCGCCUAAAGAAUGAAUUUCAAACCGUAGGUGGAUUUGGCCAGCCACGUGGCGCAUGGUGGCCCACGCGUGUGAAGGCCUGCCAGCAUUAAAGUGUACCGGAAUGAACGUCAAACUAGAUUGGUCAUAAGUCGUGGACUAUUAUUGUGAAGGCUUCCUUAUUUGAAUGAGUGUCAAACUAGAUUGGUCAGCCACUGUCAUAAAUCGUGGACUAUUAUUGUGAAGGCCUGCCAGAACGAGGCUUCAUUAAGUGAAUGAACAUCAAACUCGAUUGGUCAUAAGUCGUGGACUAUUAUUGUGAAGGUCUCCCGGCAUAAGGCUUCCUUAUUUGAAUGAACAUCAAACUAGGUUGGUCAGCCACGGUCAUAAGUCGUGGACUAUUAUUGUGAAGGCCUGCCAGCAUGAGGCCUCAUUAAGUAU